CCUACGGGAGGCAGUAGUGAGGCCUAUUGGUCAAUGGACGCAAGUCUGAACCAGCCAUGCCGCGUGCAGGAAGACGGCUCUAUGAGUUGUAAACUGCUUUUGUACGAGGGUAAACGCAGAUACGCGUAUCUGUCUGAAAGGAUCGUACGAAUAAGGAUCGGCUAACUCCGUGCCAGCAGCCGCGGUAAUACGGAGGAUUCAAGCGUUAUCCGGAUUUAUUGGGUUUAAAGGGUGCGUAGGAGGUCGGAUAAGUUAGAGGUGAAAGUCCGAGGCUCAACUUCGGAAUUGCCUCUGAUACUGUUCGGCUAGAGAGUAGUUGCGGUAGGCGGAAUGUAUGGUGUAGCGGUGAAAUGCUUAGAGAUCAUACAGAACACCGAUUGCGAAGGCAGCUUACCAAGCUACUUCUGACGUUGAGGCACGAAAGCGUGGGGAGCAAACAGGAUUAGAUACCCCGGUAGUC
Molecule: ribosomal RNA, 460 nt
Filed under: uncultured bacterium
Lineage: Bacteria
Description: partial 16S ribosomal RNA
Rfam family: Bacterial small subunit ribosomal RNA
Source: RNAcentral